RNAcentral lists this ribosomal RNA (1181 nucleotides) under marine metagenome. Its description in RNAcentral is "bacterial SSU rRNA". It matches the Rfam family "Bacterial small subunit ribosomal RNA", at positions 58 to 1286 of the family's 1533-position model. The record is from RNAcentral.
CAAGUCGAACGAAGUAGCAAUACUUAGUGGCAGACGGGUGAGUAACAUGUAGGUAUCUGCCCUUUGGCCUGGAAUAACACGAGGAAACUUGUGCUAAUACCGGAUAAGUCUUUACGGAGAAAGCUUUAUGCACCAUUGGAUGAGCCUGCACUUGAUUAGUUUGUUGGUAGGGUAAUGGCCUACCAAGACUGUGAUCAAUAGCUGAUUUGAGAGGAUGAUCAGCCACAUUGGGACUGAGACACGGCCCAAACUCCUACGGGAGGCAGCAGUGGGGAAUCUUGCACAAUGGAGGAAACUCUGAUGCAGCGAUGCCGCGUGAGUGAAGAAGGCCUUUGGGUUGUAAAGCUCUUUCGUCGGGGAAGAAAAUGACUGUACCCGAAUAAGAAGGUCCGGCUAACUUCGUGCCAGCAGCCGCGGUAAUACGAAGGGACCUAGCGUAGUUCGGAAUUACUGGGCUUAAAGAGUUCGUAGGUGGUUGAAAAAGUUGGUGGUGAAAUCCCAGAGCUUAACUCUGGAACUGCCAUCAAAACUUUUCAGCUAGAGUAUGAUAGAGGAAAGCAGAAUUUCUAGUGUAGAGGUGAAAUUCGUAGAUAUUAGAAAGAAUACCAAUUGCGAAGGCAGCUUUCUGGAUCAUUACUGACACUGAGGAACGAAAGCAUGGGUAGCGAAGAGGAUUAGAUACCCUCGUAGUCCAUGCCGUAAACGAUGUGUGUUAGACGUUGGAAAUUUAUUUUCAGUGUCGCAGCGAAAGCGAUAAACACACCGCCUGGGGAGUACGACCGCAAGGUUAAAACUCAAAUGAAUUGACGGGGACCCGCACAAGUAGUGGAGCAUGUGGUUUAAUUCGAAGAUACGCGCAGAACCUUACCAACACUUGACAUGUUCGUCGCGACUUUAAGAGAUUAAAGUUUUCGGUUCGGCCGGACGAAACACAGGUGCUGCAUGGCUGUCGUCAGCUCGUGUCGUGAGAUGUUGGGUUAAGUCCCGCAACGAGCGCAACCCUCACUUUUAGUUGCCAUCAUUUAGUUGGGCACUCUGAAAGAACUGCCAGUGAUAAGCUGGAGGAAGGUGGGGAUGACGUCAAGUCCUCAUGGCCCUUACGUGUUGGGCUACACACGUGCUACAAUGGUAUCUACAACAGGAAGCAAAACCGCGAGGUUAAGCAAAUCCUAAAAAGAUAC